GUAUGCCUGUUCGAGCGCCGUUUGCAUACUGAGGCUCCGCCUUGCGAUGAUCCCCUCCGCCAAAGGAGCCGAUCGAAACGCGUUGGCGCCACGUCGGGGCCCAAGCGCAGUGAAAAUGCGUGGAAGCCGCGGAGUGGCGCCCGAGCAAACAAAAUCCAAAGCAUGGCCUCGGAUCAGGUAGGGAUACCCGCUGAACUUAA
RNAcentral lists this unclassified non-coding RNA (200 nucleotides) under soil metagenome. Its description in RNAcentral is "partial contains internal transcribed spacer 2 and large subunit ribosomal RNA". The record is from RNAcentral.